This 426-nucleotide ribosomal RNA is filed under the name Triticum aestivum (bread wheat). RNAcentral's name for it is "partial small subunit ribosomal RNA". Lineage: Eukaryota; Viridiplantae; Streptophyta; Magnoliopsida; Poales; Poaceae. The record is from RNAcentral.
AUGACUAAAGAUAACCUGUUAAAAAGAGGUAUUACUAAGCCACCUGAAUGUGUAUUUUGCAAGGAACAUGAAUCCAUAGAUCACCUGUUCUUUGGUUGUGUGGUUGCUAAACAAAUUUGGAUUGAAAUAUCUAGAAUCCUAUCUUAUGAUGUAGGCAAUAACUACUUAUCCAUUGCUAGAUUCUGGCCAGCCCAUAAGAAAAAGCUGGUCUUGAACUUUGUUUGUGCCUGUGUUAUGUGGUGCAUCUGGAAGUUCAGGAAUUCUAUGAUUUUUAAUAAUGUGUGGUGGUCUGACCUUAAACAGAUAUGGUGGCAGAUUCAUCUGACUCUCAAGAAGUGGAUGAUCUGGUUCAAAGAAUCUCCCUUGGAAGAGCUAAAGCUUGUUUCACAAAAAAUGGCAGUGACCUCACCUCCCCUUUCCUGCUGA